This 450-nucleotide ribosomal RNA is filed under the name uncultured bacterium. RNAcentral's name for it is "bacterial SSU rRNA". It matches the Rfam family "Bacterial small subunit ribosomal RNA", at positions 29 to 524 of the family's 1533-position model. The record is from RNAcentral.
AACGAACGCUGGCGGCAUGCCUAACACAUGCAAGUCGAACGAGACCUUCGGGUCUAGUGGCGCACGGGUGCGUAACGCGUGGGAAUCUGCCCUUGGGUUCGGAAUAACAGUUAGAAAUGACUGCUAAUACCGGAUAAUGUCUUCGGACCAAAGAUUUAUCGCCCAGGGAUGAGCCCGCGUAGGAUUGGCUAGUUGGUGAGGUAAAGGCUCACCAAGGCGACGAUCCUUAGCUGGUCUGAGAGGAUGAUCAGCCACACUGGGACUGAGACACGGCCCAGACUCCUACGGGAGGCAGCAGUGGGGAAUAUUGGACAAUGGGCGAAAGCCUGAUCCAGCAAUGCCGCGUGAGUGAUGAAGGCCUUAGGGUUGUAAAGCUCUUUUACCCGGGAUGAUAAUGACAGUACCGGGAGAAUAAGCCCCGGCUAACUCCGUGCCAGCAGCCGCGGUAAU